RNAcentral lists this ribosomal RNA (253 nucleotides) under uncultured bacterium. Its description in RNAcentral is "partial 16S ribosomal RNA". It matches the Rfam family "Bacterial small subunit ribosomal RNA", at positions 524 to 776 of the family's 1533-position model. The record is from RNAcentral.
UACGUAGGGGGCUAGCGUUGUCCGGAUUUAUUGGGCGUAAAGAGCGUGUAGGCGGCCAGGUAGGUCUGGUGUGAAAACUCGAGGCUUAACCUCGAGAUGUCAUCGGAAACCAUCUGGCUAGAGUCCGGAAGAGGAGAGUGGAAUUCCUGGUGUAGCGGUGAAAUGCGCAGAUAUCAGGAAGAACACCAAUGGCGAAGGCAGCUCGCUGGGACGGUACUGACGCUGAGGCGCGAAAGCGUGGGGAGCGAACAGG